UUUAAUAAAAUAUUAGUUUGUCAAAUUAAAGAUGUAAGAU
Molecule: transfer RNA, 40 nt
Filed under: Trichonephila clavata
Lineage: Eukaryota; Metazoa; Arthropoda; Arachnida; Araneae; Nephilidae
Description: tRNA-Asp
Source: RNAcentral